GUAGAACUCCUCCACCUGAGCUUUUCUGAGCAGGCCGCCGGUGCUUCCGGCGAAGAUUGGAGAUGGGGUGUUGGGGUCGAGUUCAGGUGGGGUGAAUCCCACCGGAGCUUCUUUGGUGGGGACUUCCCCUGCCGCCGCGGCCUUGAUGGUGGUGAAUCGGGUGGUGGGUUUGGUUGGUUUGACGGUGGUGAAGGAGGUGAGUUGUGAUUGUUUCCAUGGAGAGGUUUGAGUGGGGAUUGUAGGUGCGAAAAAGGAAGCUUGGGUAGCCAUGGCCAUCGGUGGUGGUGGGUGAUUUGAAUCAAGAAGACGAAGAAUUUUGUGAAGUUGGGUGGCGAUGGUGGUGGGUUUUAGAUGUAGGUGGUACCGGUGGUGG
RNAcentral lists this long non-coding RNA (373 nucleotides) under Lactuca sativa (garden lettuce). RNAcentral's name for it is "long non-coding RNA (LSAT_LNC006732)". Lineage: Eukaryota; Viridiplantae; Streptophyta; Magnoliopsida; Asterales; Asteraceae. The record is from RNAcentral.